CCUACGGGAGGCUGCAGUGGGGGAUAUUGCACAAUGGGGGGAACCCUGAUGCAGCGACGCCGCGUGGGGGAAGAAGCGCCUCGGCGCGUAAAGCCCUGUCAGCAGGGAAGAAAAUGACGGUACCUGAAGAAGAAGCCCCGGCUAACUACGUGCCAGCAGCCGCGGUAAUACGGAGGAUGCGAGCGUUAUCCGGAUUUAUUGGGUUUAAAGGGUGAGCAGGCGGAUUUUUAAGGCCGCGGUCAAAUCGUGGGGCUCAACCCCAUCCAGACGUUGAAACGGGGGAUCUAGAGUGUGCGAGAGGUAUGCGGAAUGCGUGGUGUAGCGGUGAAAUGCAUAGAUAUCACGCAGAACCCCGAUUGCGAAGGCAGCAUACCGGUGCACAUCUGCCGCUCAGGCACGAAAGCGUGGGUAUCGAACAGGAUUAGAUACCCUUGUAGUC
This 439-nucleotide ribosomal RNA is filed under the name uncultured bacterium. Its description in RNAcentral is "partial 16S ribosomal RNA". It matches the Rfam family "Bacterial small subunit ribosomal RNA", at positions 338 to 795 of the family's 1533-position model. The record is from RNAcentral.